Long non-coding RNA from Dermacentor albipictus, 352 nucleotides. RefSeq lists it as uncharacterized. Lineage: Eukaryota; Metazoa; Arthropoda; Arachnida; Ixodida; Ixodidae. The record is from RefSeq and is a predicted model, not a curated record.
ACCAUUUAUUGCCGCAAGAAUGUUUUUCCUUUUGGCCUCAGUUAUCCUUUUACUAUCAACGAUGCAUGGAGAACGCCGGUCAUAUGCUUUAGCAGCGCAUGGUCGUUGUAAAGUUGGGCAAAGUCGUCUCUCUAACUAUCAUCCGAGACCUCCUCCUAGUCCAAGUCCCUCAACGCGCGCUCCUAUUCCAAGCCCCCUUCAAAAUGGGCCAAAGCCUGGCGGCUAAAACAGUAUCACACCUGGUGGAACCGAACACCAACGCCGAUGCGGAAUUCCACGAAAUACUACACUCUGCAGCUCUGCUCAGCACAACAUGAAGAAAAAAUAAAUAGUGUUUUAACACGUGACAAAA